UGUGGGUUUGCUUCCUGACUUUCUCCCGCUGGUGCUCUUGUGCGGGUUUGCUCCCUGACUUUCUCCCGCUGGUGUUCUGUUGGUGUUCUACCUGUCUUCUUCCUUCUCGGUUUCACGGAUGCCCUGUGCUGAUGACCGAACACUUCUUCGAUUGGUAAGGAGGUAUUCAUCUUGAUUUUUUGCCGAGAAUUGAGAAAGGUAUUGUGAUAGCCCAGCCCAGCCAGCAGAUCAAAGCCCAAAAAAAAAAAAAUAGGGGAUGCAAAAUCGGGAAGAAGACUCCCGAUAGGAGUCUUCUUCUCCGGCGAGUCCCGGGCAAAUUAGGACUCCUAGGACCCCUCGGAGUCCUAGGGUUCUCUAUAAGAAGACCCCCUCCCUCUUGAGACCCAACAUCGACCUCCUUCCUCUCUCCUUCUCUCCGAUUUUCUCGAAUUAGAGCCGCGGACACCGUCCGAUUU
This 455-nucleotide long non-coding RNA is filed under the name Elaeis guineensis (African oil palm). RNAcentral's name for it is "long non-coding RNA (EGUI_LNC004226)". Lineage: Eukaryota; Viridiplantae; Streptophyta; Magnoliopsida; Arecales; Arecaceae. The record is from RNAcentral.